Molecule: ribosomal RNA, 435 nt
Filed under: uncultured Anaerolineaceae bacterium
Lineage: Bacteria; Bacillati; Chloroflexota; Anaerolineae; Anaerolineales; Anaerolineaceae
Description: bacterial SSU rRNA
Rfam family: Bacterial small subunit ribosomal RNA
Source: RNAcentral
AGCGGAGCGUGUGGUUUAAUUCGUUGCUACACGAAGAACCUUACCUGGGUUUGACAUAUAGGUUCGUAGGGAACUGAAAGGGACCGACCUUCGGGAGCCUAUACAGGUGUUGCAUGGCUGUCGUCAGCUCGUGUCGUGAGAUGUUCGGUUAAGUCCGCUAACGAGCGCAACCCUCGUCGUAUGUUAUAUGUGUCAUACGAGACUGCCGGUAAAAGCCGGAGGAAGGUGAGGAUGAUGUCAAGUCAGCAUGACCUUUAUAUCCAGGGCUACACACACGCUACAAUGGUCUGUACAAUGGGUAGCCAAGCCGCGAGGCGGAGCCAAUCCUGAAAGCAGGCCUCAGUUCAGAUUGCAGUCUGCAACUCGACUGCAUGAAGCCGGAGUUGCUAGUAACCGCAGGUCAGCAAUACUGCGGUGAAUACGUUCCCGGGUCUU